This 458-nucleotide ribosomal RNA is filed under the name uncultured bacterium. RNAcentral describes it as "bacterial SSU rRNA". It matches the Rfam family "Bacterial small subunit ribosomal RNA", at positions 340 to 789 of the family's 1533-position model. The record is from RNAcentral.
UACGGGAGGCAGCAGUGGGGAAUAUUGCACAAUGGGCGAAAGCCUGAUGCAGCUAUGCCGCGUGUAUGAAGAAGGCCUUAGGGUUGUAAAGUACUUUCAUCGGGGAGGAAAAACAAAACUAAUAAUUUUAUUUCUUGACGUUACCCGAAAAAGAAGCACCGGCUAACUCCGUGCCAGCAGCCGCGGUAAUACGGAGGGUGCUAGCGUUAAUCAGAAUUACUGGGCGUAAAGAGCACGUAGGUGGUUUUUUUAAAGUCAGAUGUGAAAUCCCUGGGCUUAACCUGGAACUGCAUUUUGAAACUGAAAUACUAGAGUAUCGUAGAGGGAGGUAGAAUUCUAGGUGUAGCGGUGAAAUGCGUAGAUAUCUGGAGGAAUACCUGUGGCGAAAGCGGCCUCCUAAACGAAUACUGACACUGAGGUGCGAAAGCGUGGGGAGCAAACAGGGAUUAGAUACCCGU